CAACUCGGCUGCAUGAAGCUGGAAUCGCUAGUAAUCGCGGAUCAGAAUGCCGCGGUGAAUACGUUCCCGGGUCUUGUACACACCGCCCGUCACACCAUGGGAGUUGGAAAUGCCCGAAGUCAGUGGCCCAACCUACGGGAGGGAGCUGCCGAAGGCAGGUUCGAUGACUGGGGUGAAGUCGUAACAAGGUAUC
Molecule: ribosomal RNA, 193 nt
Filed under: uncultured bacterium
Lineage: Bacteria
Description: partial 16S ribosomal RNA
Rfam family: Bacterial small subunit ribosomal RNA
Source: RNAcentral